Molecule: ribosomal RNA, 465 nt
Filed under: uncultured bacterium
Lineage: Bacteria
Description: partial 16S ribosomal RNA
Rfam family: Bacterial small subunit ribosomal RNA
Source: RNAcentral
GACGAACGCUGGCGGCGUGCUUAACACAUGCAAGUCGAACGGAAAGGCACUGCUUGCUGGGUCCUCGAGUGGCGAACGGGUGAGUAACACAUGGGUGAUUUGCCCUGCACUUCGGGGUACGCCUGGAAAACUGGGUCUAUUACCGGAUAGGAGACAUUUUUAGUGUGAGGGUUGGAAAGUUUUUUCGGUGUAGGAUGAGCUGGCGGCCUAUUGGCGUGUUGGUGGGGUAAUGGCCUACCAAGGCGGCGAGGGGUAGCUGGCCAGAGAGGGUGGACGGCCGCAUUGGGUCCUAGAGACGGCCGCAGCGCCGAAUGGUGGAAGAAGGGGGGAAGACUGAUCCAGGGGUGCCGGGCGGAUGCAGAAGGGCUGCGGGUGGGAUAGCGGUUUUCGGGUGGAAAAAUCGCAUCGCUAUAAACCAAGCCUGUUGUGACGGUACCUAGAGAAGAAGCACCGGCUAACUACGUG